GAAAUGUUGAUAAUUCCUUUUUCUCCACAGCUGCUGCUUGAUCUGUGGAUUUCCUCCUGCUGAUGGAUUAUUGUUCCAGAUUCCAGCAUCGGGAGCCUCUUUUUUCUCUCUGUGAAGGCUGCUGUUAUGUGUUCCAAGGGACCAGCGUUUGAUCCUGACUUUUCAUGUGGAGUUCAUCCUGUGUCUCUUUUAGUUUCUUCCCACAUCCCAAAGACAUGCAGGGGGCCGUGCACAAUCCUGAUUUGAUGGAGACAGCCGUGAGAAGCACAGAGGAACACCUGGAGAAACUUCUGAAAUGCCCACUUCGCUGCUGCUGCUACUGUGCGAUCGAGAAUCUCCAGAGGGGAAGGCCCCAAAUCCUCGGCUUUGCCUACUGCCUGUUGCCAGGGCUGGGGUCGAAGCACUUGGCAGAGAUGGUGCUCGGUGUCAGAGGCUCGGAGUUUUCAGACGGACUCGGAGUCGGACUGUGGUCGGAUGCUUCCAGGAUGCUGCAUCGGAAAAUUUGCGGCGCUGGAGGUUCACCGUCUGCGUGAGAUGAUGGGACUUUGAGACUUUUACCGUGCCCACGGACUGUUCUUAUCAAAUUACUGUAUUGCUUUGCACUGUUGUAACUAUAUGUUAUAAUUAUGUGGUUUUUCUCAAGUUUUUAAGUCAGUUUGUCAUGUGUUUCUGUGAUAUCAUUCUGGAAAACCAUUGUAUCAUUUCUUAAUGCAUGCAUUACUAAAUCACAAUAAAGGAGGACUGCGUGUCCUCAUAAUCUAAUCUAAUCAAUCGUUAGGUAUUAAUAUUGAAGUAGUAAAAUGGAUUCAACAGUGGCUGGAUGGGAGAUGCCAGAGAGUAGCGAUGGAUAACUGUUUGUCAGGUUGGAGACCGGUGACUAGUGGUGUGCCUCAGUGUUCUGUACUGGGUCCAAUGUUGUUUGUCAUAUACAUUAAUGAUCUGGAUGAUGGAGUGGUAAAUUGGAUUAGUAAGUGUGCAGAUGAUACUAAGAUAGGUGGCGUUGUGGAUAAUGAAGUAGGUUUUCAAAGUUUGCAGAGAGAUUUAGGCCAGUUAGAAGAGUGAGCUGAAAGAUGGCAGAUGGAGUUUAAUGCUGAUAAGUGUGAGGUGCUACAUUUUGGCAGGACUAAUCAAAGUAGGACAUACAUGGUAAAUGGUAGGGCAUUGAGGAAUGCGGUGGAACAAAGUGAUCUUGGAAUAAUGGUGUAUAGUUCCCUGAAGGUGGAAUCUCAUGUGGAUAGGGUGGUGAAGAAAGCUUUUGGUAUGCUGGCCUUUAUAAAUCAAAGCAUUGAGUAUAGGAGUUGGGAUGUAAUGUUGAAAUUGUACAAGGCAUUGGUGAGGCCAAAUUUGGAGUAUUGUGUACUGUUCUGGUCACCAAAUUAUAGGAAAGAUGUCAACAAAAUAGUGAGAGUACAGAGGAGGUUUACUAGAAUUUUACCUGGGGUUCAGCACCUAAGUUACAGAGAAAGGUUGAACAAGUUGGGUCUUUAUUCUUUGGAGCAUAGAAGGUUGAGGGGGGACUUGACAGAGGUGUUUAAAAUUAUGAGGGGGAUAGACAGAGUUGACGUGGAUAGGCUUUUUCCAUUAAGAGUAGGUGAGAUUCAAACAAGAGGACAUGAGCUGAGAGUUAAGGGGCAAAAGUUUACAGGUAACACGAGGGGGAACUUCUUUACUCAGAGAGUGGUAGCUGUGUGGAACGAGCUUCCAGUAGAAGUGGUAGAGGCAGGUUCGAUUUUGUCAUUUAAAAAAAAAUUGGAUAGGUAUAUGUACAGGAAAGGAAUGGAGGGUUAUGGACUGAGUGCAGGUAGAUGGGACCAGGUGAGAGUAAGCGUUCGGCACGGACUAGAAGGGCCGAGAUGGCCUGUUUCUGUGCUGUAAUUGUUAUAUGGUUAUAAGGAUAGCAUGGACUUGGUGGGUUGAAGGGCCGGUUUCCAUGCUGUAAGAUUCUAUGGUUCUAUGACUAAGACAAGGGAGCUAAGGGCUAAGACAAGGGAGAAAGCAGUCAGUGUUGAGGAUGUAGAAUUAAGCAGUGAAAUUUUGAAUUUUGAAUUUUGUUCAUAAGUAUUGUAACAAUACUACCAGCCAUAUAAAAGCAUGUACUGUGUUAUAUUAUUUUAGAUCCAUCUCCUUGUUUGUUUUUUUCCCUUAGUUCCUUAAUAAUUUCCUUCCACAAAUGUGUAGGGAAGACUUAAAGGAAUAUGGGCCAAAUGUAGACAAAUGGAGCUAACAUAGGGCAUCAUGUUCAUCAGAGAUGAGUUAGGCUGAAGGGCCUGGUUCGAUGCUGUGUUACUCUAUGAUGCUAUGCUUGCAUAAUUUCCAACCAACUCAUCUUUAACCUGAAUGUCAAGUCUCUCUCAACCAAGAUGGUCUUCAAAUGGUUCUGUUUAUUGUCAGAGAAUGGACAUCCAUGAAAAACA
Long non-coding RNA from Mobula hypostoma (lesser devil ray), 2414 nucleotides. RefSeq lists it as uncharacterized. The record is from RefSeq and is a predicted model, not a curated record. Lineage: Eukaryota; Metazoa; Chordata; Chondrichthyes; Myliobatiformes; Myliobatidae. The transcript is spliced from 3 exons.